GAGAUCCAUUUACAAAACAAAGCCUCACAAUUGCUAUUAACCCUUUACGACUGCUGAGAGGCCAGACAAUUGUUUCAAAUAAAGGCAGGUGAGCGAGAUGCUAAUCAACCAGCUUGAGACCACGGAAGCUGAUGCAAAUAAUCAAAUCCAAAUUUGUCCAGAGGGAAACACACUCAACUUUGAAGUAGGAGAGGAGGAAAUUGUCACGUCGAAGCCAUCGGAGACAGCCUUCCUGUAACAACGAAACCCCCCAGGGAGACGGUUGCUGAUUUCCUCCUAGUCUGCUUGGCAUCUCACUGACAGGGCAAAUGUAAUUAGAAGGAACCAAAUGCGAACAAUGCCACUUCCUUACUUUUAUAAUCCAGACAGGACUUUUUUUAAAAAGAAAAAGAAAAAAAAAGAAGCACACCACAUUUUAUUUAAAUUAGAACGGAGCAUCGUGAAGCCAAAAGCAGCAUGCUAAAAGCUUAUUCGUAACAGCUGCCUGUAAAUCCACAUUUCAAAUGCUUCUCGUCUCUUCAAGUGGCUUUCUGUCAGAGACCAACUCUCCACUCCGUAGAGCAGGAUAAAAAAGAGAGAUCAAUGGCUUUUUAUUAUUACUCUACCGUUUCUACUGACAAACAUUUAAUUAUAGGUGAGAAUAUUUUUCAUCUACUUUUUGAUUACUAUAUGCUUUGUAACAUUUCCGUUCGUUCCUUUAUUCGUAAACCAUUUGGGGAAUUCCUUAAAUUAAUUCAGGACUAAAAUCACCAUUUUUCACUCUAGUUUGUUAUCUCCGAUGUGUAGGUCUGUUAAUUCUAUUACAGGGCAAUUAACCGAUCUCGGGGAAUUGUUAGCAUUAUUUAUUGAUUGAUUUUACCAAUGGACUAAUUUAUAACCUGGAUUGCUUAUUACAUUUGCACCUUACAAUACCUUGGGGGUGGAGUUUGUGGGAAGCUUAGAAGUAAAGGUGAACUAAGAAAAAGGCAUAUGUUAAAAAGAGUAACUCAGCAACCCAAAUCCCACAUGUACUAUAAGA
Molecule: long non-coding RNA, 1018 nt
Organism: Pantherophis guttatus
Lineage: Eukaryota; Metazoa; Chordata; Lepidosauria; Squamata; Colubridae
Source: RefSeq, a predicted model, not a curated record